AAUGCUGAGCCUGAGUUAAAGGGAUAUCGUGAUAGGAUAUAUAAUGUGGAAUCAAACCCCACCUUCAUUA
RNAcentral lists this transfer RNA (70 nucleotides) under Dolichorhinotermes longilabius. RNAcentral describes it as "tRNA-Ile". Lineage: Eukaryota; Metazoa; Arthropoda; Insecta; Blattodea; Rhinotermitidae. The record is from RNAcentral.